AGGACCUUCGUUUCCGCUCUGUCUCUGAUCUGUCGCUCUCUCUCUCUCUUUGUUGCUGUUCCAAAUUUUGAACCUCAACGACGGAUUCUCUCUGUUUCAGGAGCAUUGAAAGCUCUGUUCCUGUAGCCAUUUCUUUCCCUCUUGGAGCUUUCAUCCUCACACAUUUCUCUGCCUGACUUCCGAGCUCGCUUCCAUAAUGAACGAUCUUCUUUCGGAUUCGUUUGAGAUCCCUCGGGGUCAACCUUCUAGAGGAGGAGACAUUGAGCUAGGAACAAAUGUUCCUACUAGUGGAGGGGAUGGCUUGGAGGAUUUCUUUAAAAAGGUUAA
This 327-nucleotide unclassified non-coding RNA is filed under the name Hevea brasiliensis (rubber tree). The record is from RNAcentral. Lineage: Eukaryota; Viridiplantae; Streptophyta; Magnoliopsida; Malpighiales; Euphorbiaceae.